GGCAAGGUAGCUCAGAUGGUUAGUAGCGCGGCUCUCAUAAGGCCGAGGUCGGCGGUUCGAUCCCGCCCCUUGCUA
RNAcentral lists this transfer RNA (75 nucleotides) under Patescibacteria group bacterium. RNAcentral describes it as "tRNA-Met". It matches the Rfam family "tRNA". Rfam says of the family: Transfer RNA (tRNA) molecules are approximately 80 nucleotides in length. The record is from RNAcentral.